UCGAUUCAGAGGGAUGUUGCUAGCUCGUUCUGCUGUCUGUGCACUCCCUCGUAAAAAUCUCAAUUCACCUGUGCACACUCGAUGGGCAUUAAGGGCAACCUCUUUUGCCUGUUGUGUUUUUAUACACUCUAUACUAUGAAUGCAAUUUGAACAAUUAACUUGAAA
This 165-nucleotide unclassified non-coding RNA is filed under the name Clavaria rosea. RNAcentral's name for it is "internal transcribe spacer 1". The record is from RNAcentral. Lineage: Eukaryota; Fungi; Basidiomycota; Agaricomycetes; Agaricales; Clavariaceae.